Molecule: long non-coding RNA, 233 nt
Organism: Hyaena hyaena (striped hyena)
Lineage: Eukaryota; Metazoa; Chordata; Mammalia; Carnivora; Hyaenidae
Exons: 3
Source: RefSeq, a predicted model, not a curated record
AGUUCUAUCUCAAAGAGAUGACGGAUGAAACUAAACCUGUUGAGAUAAUAAUUUCACAAUACAGGCUGACUGAUCCCUUGGGGUAAUUGGAAAGGAAGCACAUAUUACUGUAAUGCAUUCACUGAACAAGAAUUCAAGAUGGGCCAUCUUACAAAGUACAGAAGUGGUUAAGAAGAUUGGAUAAGGACAAUUGAGCCCUCAUUCCCUGAAAAGUAUGUUUCUGAAAAGAAAAG